CGACGGUAACAGGAAUUAGCUUGCUAAUUUGCUGACGAGUGGCGCACGGGUGCGUAACGCGUAUGCAAUCUACCUUGUACUGGAGUAUAGCCCAGGGAAACUUGGAUUAAUCCUCCAUAGUCUAUUGAUAUGGCAUCGUAUUAAUAGUAAAGGUUACGGUACAAGAUGAGCAUGCGUCCUAUUAGCUAGUAGGUGUGGUAACGGCACACCUAGGCAACGAUAGGUAGGGGUCCUGAGAGGGAGAUCCCCCACACUGGUACUGAGACACGGACCAGACUCCUACGGGAGGCAGCAGUGAGGAAUAUUGGACAAUGGGCGGGAGCCUGAUCCAGCCAUGCCGCGUGCAGGAAGACUGCCCUAUGGGUUGUAAACUGCUUUUAUACGGGAAGAAUAAGUGUUACGUGUAGCACGAUGACGGUACCGUAAGAAUAAGCACCGGCUAACUCCGUGCCAGCAGCCGCGGUAAUACGGAGGGUGCAAGCGUUAUCCGGAAUCAUUGGGUUUAAAGGGUCCGUAGGUGGACUAAUAAGUCAGUGGUGAAAGUCUGCAGCUUAACUGUAGAAUUGCCAUUGAUACUGUUGGUCUUGAAUUGUUGUGAAGUAACUAGAAUAUGUAGUGUAGCGGUGAAAUGCAUAUAUAUUACAUAGAAUACCGAUUGCGAAGGCAGGUUACUAACCAUAUAUUGACACUGAUGGACGAAAGCGUGUGG
RNAcentral lists this ribosomal RNA (709 nucleotides) under Leeuwenhoekiella palythoae. RNAcentral's name for it is "bacterial SSU rRNA". It matches the Rfam family "Bacterial small subunit ribosomal RNA", at positions 64 to 766 of the family's 1533-position model. The record is from RNAcentral. Lineage: Bacteria; Pseudomonadati; Bacteroidota; Flavobacteriia; Flavobacteriales; Flavobacteriaceae.